This 271-nucleotide ribosomal RNA is filed under the name uncultured bacterium. RNAcentral's name for it is "partial 16S ribosomal RNA". It matches the Rfam family "Bacterial small subunit ribosomal RNA", at positions 29 to 327 of the family's 1533-position model. The record is from RNAcentral.
AACGAACGCUGGCGGCAUGCCUAACACAUGCAAGUCGUACGAGACCUUCGGGUCUAGUGGCGCACGGGUGCGUAACGCGUGGGAAUCUGCCCUUAGGUACGGAAUAACUCAGGGAAACUUGAGCUAAUACCGUAUAAUGACUUCGGUCCAAAGAUUUAUCGCCUAAGGAUGAGCCCGCGUCGGAUUAGCUAGUUGGUGAGGUAAAAGCUCACCAAGGCGACGAUCCGUAGCUGGCUUGAGAGGAUGAUCAGCCACACUGGGACUGAGACAC